GCCCUUCAGAGGGGGACAACAGUUGGAAACGACUGCUAAUACCGCAUACGAUCUAAUCUCGGCAUCGAGGAAAGAUGAAAGGUGGCCUCUAUUUAUAAGCUAUCACUGAAGGAGGGGAUUGCGUCUGAUUAGCUAGUUGGAGGGGUAACGGCCCACCAAGGCGAUGAUCAGUAGCCGGUCUGAGAGGAUGAACGGCCACAUUGGGACUGAGACACGGCCCAGACUCCUACGGGAGGCAGCAUG
Molecule: ribosomal RNA, 243 nt
Filed under: uncultured bacterium
Lineage: Bacteria
Description: partial 16S ribosomal RNA
Rfam family: Bacterial small subunit ribosomal RNA
Source: RNAcentral